Molecule: long non-coding RNA, 1953 nt
Organism: Erigeron canadensis
Lineage: Eukaryota; Viridiplantae; Streptophyta; Magnoliopsida; Asterales; Asteraceae
Exons: 2
Source: RefSeq, a predicted model, not a curated record
UUCAGAUUUCAAAUAUUAGGGUUCUUGUUUCCUAUUUAGAUUUAUUUUGAAUGUAUGAGUUGGUAUUCGAGACUAACAAAGAUAAAAUCCCAUCUAUCAAUCAUAAAUUUUUGCAAGUGGUAUCGUAAAUUUCUGCAUAAGUGCAUAAGUUGUUACAAAGCUCCAUGUUUCACUGCAUUGUUACUUGAUGGUUUACUUGGGUUUGCUCAAGGAAAUAAAGCUUUGCACAACUGUCAUGUUUUUUUCUGGUAGAUAAAAGACCAAUUUUCAUGUCCAUCUUAUUUCAUAUUCAACUCCAUUUCCAUUUUGCGUUUGUGGUUUAUAUAAAACCGGGACAUAUAGAGAUGAAAUGGGCUACAAGGAGGGCCACUAAGUCUAUUGACCUUAUGAUAUGCUGCCUUUUGAAAUCUGCAACUGCCGAACCAAUAUGGGCAUGCAAUUUUGUUUUUCUUACCCUGCAUAAUGUUGAUACAAGAUUGAUAAAACCUUUGAUACAAGUUUAAUGUCGACUGUCAUUAAACAAAAGUGUUCAAAAUAAUAUCCUAAAAAAACUACAUAUAAUAGAAUCACAAUGUGAAACUCAAUUGUAGUCGGCCCAUUUUGUGAUGCUACUACUCGGGAAUACUUAUUGAAGGUUCCUUGGAGCUGAAAAACUUCUCAAUCGUAAUGUGAAAGUCAAAAACUAUAGUGUGAACCUAAACGUGUUCUCUAUAUGGAUAUGAUCUUGAUCACUUUGUCUAUUUUAUCUGUACCCUUGCUUCUUGAUGUAGCUAUUGUUUGGCUUACUCAUUUACUGAUGAUACAUAUUUUGCUGGAAAGGAAUGAUCUUAAGGAGCAAAGAAGUUAUCUUUGAAGGAACAUAGUAUAAAGUAUAAACUUUUACUUUCGUAUCCAAAAUGAUUACCCUUUUUAAGCAUACAAAGGUCCAUUCGAGUGAGGUCAUUUAUCUGGGUGCAAGUCUUGAGUAGCUGUUGACUUGGUUAUUGAUCAUUUGAUUUCUAUGGAGCAAUUUUUGCUAAUUUGUGCAGGAUCCAUGGCGGAAUCCAACAGUACAAGAGGAGGCAACAACAAUAAAUCAUUUAAUUGGUCUAAACUAAAAUAAAUAUAUGUGUUAUAAGGUUCAUUACAAAGAUUAGAAUCUCUUUUUAGUGUCUAAAUUGGUAUGUAUGCGUAUAGUUCGAGGACUAUACUAUUGAUCUAGAGGCUCUCCUUUAGUUUCCCUAAAGGCCAUGUUUUUUGAAGGUCUUAGUUCAGGUCACAAGACUUUUGGGUGGUAAUGUUUCAUUGGAUACUAUUAUACUAAGAGUCUAUGUGGACUGGACAACCUUAGAGAUCUAACCUGAGUGCAGUUGUCAUGUUGACUAUUAGCAACAUUGGCUUCUCAGUUCUCACUUCAUGACACGACCUGAUAACAUAGAAGUAAAACACUUUUUCUGUUUAGUGCAACUGCUUCUCGAGUAUAAUCUUUAUGAUGUAGUUAACUAACCUAUGAACGUGUGUUUUAUUGUUAGAUAUCGUACCCUAUUUUUGUGAAUCGAAAAAGUCUUGUGACAAAUAAUAUCAUUUUGUUGUUGUUCGGGUCACUCUUUAGAUAUUGGGUCAAGCUCUAUUGCUUUGCUCAAGGAUGUGGUGCUACAAGGGUCCGCUAAUUCAUCGAUGUUGCUACUAUUGUUGUCACAUUUUGUAUCCAUAGUUACUCAUGGUGAUCCAUUCUUAUGCUUUAGUAUUUAUAAUUGGCCUUCUUUUCUUUGGUUCGUAAUCCUGUAAAACUAUGUGGACCAUGAUUAUGUCUGAAGAUGUCGUCAUUGUAUUAUUCUUAAUUUCUUAUCGUAAGGCAUUUUUAUUUGAACAUUUCGUUGUAAUAUUGUUACUGAAAGACAUCUUCAGGAUUGUAUUAUUGUUACUGUAAGUCUGUAAGGCCUGCACAACAUUGUGCAUUACUUUGAGAGGUCA